RNAcentral lists this ribosomal RNA (443 nucleotides) under uncultured Lachnospiraceae bacterium. RNAcentral describes it as "partial 16S ribosomal RNA". It matches the Rfam family "Bacterial small subunit ribosomal RNA", at positions 341 to 792 of the family's 1533-position model. The record is from RNAcentral. Lineage: Bacteria; Bacillati; Bacillota; Clostridia; Lachnospirales; Lachnospiraceae.
ACGGAAGGCAGCAGUGGGGGAUAUUGGACAAUGGGGGCAACCCUGAUCCAGCGACGCCGCGUGAGUGAAGAAGUAUUUCGGUAUGUAAAGCUCUAUCAGCAGGGAAGAAAAAAUCAAAAUUGACUGUACCUGACUAAGAAGCCCCGGCUAACUACGUGCCAGCAGCCGCGGUAAUACGUAGGGGGCAAGCGUUAUCCGGAUUUACUGGGUGUAAAGGGAGUGUAGGCGGCUGCGCAAGUCAGAAGUGAAAGCCCGGGGCUUAACCCCGGGACUGCUUUUGAAACUGCGUAGCUAGAGUGCAGGAGAAGCAAGCGGAAUUCCUAGAGUAGCGGUGAAAUGCGUAGAUAUUAGGAUGAACACCGGUGGCGAAGGCGGCUUGCUGGACUGAGACUGACGCUGAGGCUCGAAAGCGUGGGGAGCAAACAGGAUUAGAUACCCUGGUA